AGCAACAGAGAAGAUCUGCACUUGACGUUAAUUAAUUAUACAUACUGGAAUGUUUAUCAUUCGAUACAAUUUUUACGUUAGGGAAGGUCUCCAGACUAUUGUGGCUCUCUCUUUACAAGAGAGCUAUACCUGUAAUGGGUAUAAAAGAUGCGUUGCCUCUGGUUAACGUGCUUUCUCUAUCUUUUGGCAAAAACAAAGUUUGAGUUUCAGAAGCUCUAGAGAUUGCUAUUUCACUGGUCAUAGUUAUAGUUAUUGCGGAUACUAUUUCUCUUGAUCUUUCUUUGUAAAGACCAUGAGAAUAGUUAACAGAAUGGAGACUACUCUCUCAAGUUGC
This 334-nucleotide RNase MRP RNA is filed under the name Mucor lusitanicus CBS 277.49. RNAcentral's name for it is "Mucor circinelloides f. lusitanicus CBS 277.49 RNase MRP". It matches the Rfam family "RNase MRP". From Rfam's summary of the family: RNase MRP is an enzymatically active ribonucleoprotein with two distinct roles in eukaryotes. In mitochondria it plays a direct role in the initiation of mitochondrial DNA replication. Lineage: Eukaryota; Fungi; Mucoromycota; Mucoromycetes; Mucorales; Mucoraceae. The record is from Rfam by way of RNAcentral.